GAGGGUUGAUAGGUUAAGAGCUAGUUAACUGGACGUUACCCACAGAAGAAGCACCGGCUAACUCCGUGCCAGCAGCCGCGGUAAUACGGAGGGUGCAAGCGUUAAUCGGAAUUACUGGGCGUAAAGGGUGCGUAGGUGGUUUGAUAAGUUAUCUGUGAAAGCCCUGGGCUCAACCUGGGAAGGUCAGAUAAGACUGUUGAACUCGAGUAUGGGAGAGGGUAGUGGAAUUUCCGGUGUAGCGGUGAAAUGCGUAGAGAUCGGAAGGAACACCAGUGGCGAAGGCGGCUACCUGGCCUAAUACUGACACUGAAGCACGAAAGCGUGGGGAGCAAACAGGAUUAGAUACCCCGGUAGUCCACGCUGUAAACGAUGUCAACUAGCUGUUGGU
Molecule: ribosomal RNA, 388 nt
Filed under: uncultured bacterium
Lineage: Bacteria
Description: bacterial SSU rRNA
Rfam family: Bacterial small subunit ribosomal RNA
Source: RNAcentral